AUAACUAAGCGGAGGAAAAGAAACUAACCAGGAUUCCCCCAGUAACGGCGAGUGAAGCGGGAAGAGCUCACGUUGUAAAUCUGCCCCAGUGGCCGAAUUGUAGUCUGGAGAGGCGAGGCCAGCCGUUGGCGGGGGCGAAGUCUCUUGGAAAAGAGCAUCAAGGAGGGUGACAAUCCCGUUCCUGCCCCCGCGCGACGUGCGUCCGGCCCGUUUUCGAAGAGUCGAGUUGCUUGGGAUUGCAGCUCAAAGCGGGUGGUAAAUUCCAUCUAAAGCUAAACACGAGUGGGAGACCGAUAGCGAACAAGUACCGUGAGGGAAAGAUGCAAAGAACUUUGAAAAGAGAGUUAAAGAGUGCCUGAAAUUGCUGAAAGGGAAGCGAAGGAAACCAGUGUCUGGCGGUCUACUUGCUCUCCGGCGCCCUUCGGGGCGCCGGUCUGAAACGAUUCCGCCGUGGCCAGGGCCGGGUGACGUCGCGGGAGACUGCGCAAGGCGGAAGGUACGUCUCCGUGCCUCUUCGGAGCGCUCGGAGAGGGAAUAGGCCGUGGCGUGUCGCCGCGACGCCGGCCGGUUCUGACGAAAUGGUUUUCUUCAC
This 592-nucleotide ribosomal RNA is filed under the name Phyllospora comosa. RNAcentral's name for it is "LSU rRNA". It matches the Rfam family "Eukaryotic large subunit ribosomal RNA", at positions 42 to 647 of the family's 3401-position model. The record is from RNAcentral. Lineage: Eukaryota; Phaeophyceae; Fucales; Seirococcaceae.